UACGUAGGGAGCAAGCGUUGUCCGGAAUCAUUGGGCGUAAAGCGCGCGUAGGCGGCCUCAUAAGUCCGUUGUGAAAGUCAAAGGCUCAACCUUUGAAAGCCGAUGGAUACUGUGAGGCUAGAGUCCGGAAGAGGCGAGUGGAAUUCCUGGUGUAGCGGUGGAAUGCGCAGAUAUCAGGAGGAACACCGGUGGCGAAGGCGGUUCUCUGGGCCUGUACUGACGCUGAGGAACGAAAGCGUGGGGAGCGAACAGG
RNAcentral lists this ribosomal RNA (253 nucleotides) under uncultured bacterium. RNAcentral describes it as "partial 16S ribosomal RNA". It matches the Rfam family "Bacterial small subunit ribosomal RNA", at positions 524 to 776 of the family's 1533-position model. The record is from RNAcentral.